UUAACACUGGGUUUCUCUGUUGUUUCCUUGUAGUUAAAUGAAGGUGAUUCACUUUUGGUUGGGUCACAGUGUGUGUGAUGUGGCUGAGAGGCACUUGAUCACCCCUCGCUGAUGGCAAAGUUGUGCGGGACGCUGCCCUGUGCCGGUACUGUAUACUUCUUUAUCAUCCGUAUUACCGAGUGAUUCGUAGAGAGACCAUUUGAGGUUCUGCACAUAUCUUAUUUCUCACUUAAAUUCUCUUUGCUGAGUUGUGUGUUGAUCUGUCUGGCUAUGUUCAACUUUACUCUAACGAUUGCAAAACGGUACGUUUGUAACCCUGGUUUUCCUAUCUGCUGUGUCUUUCCACUGGCCGGCAUUUUCCCGUAAAAAACAAAAUUGCUUUCUUACUUAUUUAGCUAUAAGUCAGCUUAGCUAUAUGAAUUCUUGUGGGUUUUUUAAAAUUAUAAUCCUUUCAUCUCUCUCACUCUCCAGAUAAAAUUGCCCCCAGGUUUGGCUAAUGAGAAUGCAUUUAAGCUGGCCUCUUUCUUCUUUUGACACAAUCCUUGUCACUGUUUGUAUACUCUCUUACUUCCUGACCAAACACACCCAUGCACACACACACACAGACACACGUUUCCACACACACACACACCCAAUUCAGCAUAGCUUCCUUACCCCAGCUAAAGUCCCAGACCCUGAUACAAGCUGACCAGUUUCUGAAACUGACAUCACAGAGCUUGCUUGUGUCCUUCUGAAGUGCAACCUGGGGUUUCACAGUGGAGACACACUGUGCCUGUUUUUCACAUAAACAGGGUUACUGGGAAUCUGAAACAUGAUUUCUACACCAUCAAUAUGUACCAUAUUGUAAAUACGUGUUCAAAUGAUCACAUGCAAUUAGUCUGUAAGAUAAAUCAGUUUAAAACGUCAUGUUUUAAGUUACCAUCGUGGCCAUCUGCUUCACAGUGCAGAUGGAGAUAUUGACAAACCAUGCCUUGGGAGAGCCCUGGGAGACUCGAGAUGACUCAGCUGGAAAAUAGUCUAGAAUAUAGGUGCAAAUUGUUAUUUUAAAUACACAGUCUGAAGGGAUGGCUGCUAAGAGUGUUUACUACUUUUGCAGCAGACCUUGGUUGGGUUCCCAGCAUCCUGAGCAGGUGGCUCACAAUCACUUAUAACUCCCAACUGCAGCAGAUCUGAGUCUUUGGACCUCAGUGGGCACCCACACUCACAUGCAGAUACCUCAACACACACUCACACAAUUAAAAAUAAAAUAGAUGUUACAUUUACAACAUGAAAGCAACAAAAUUCACGACUUUUAGAGUAUGUCAUACUGCAGAAGCUAAAAUUGUAUCAGGUGAAUUAAAGAGAUUCAAAGAUGUUUUUACUCACGGCAGCUCGAGAUUAAAGCGUGUAUAAAGGGAGAAGGGCUGGGAGGGUUAGAUACAUCCUUUGCAAUCAAGAAUUCACAGCAGCUGGGAGUACCUGUGCUGAAUCUGCACAAGGACAUGUCUUUAACAGCAGGUAUGGAUGCUGGAGGGGCUCAGGGGGGCUACCAUUCACUGCUGAACUAUUUACUAUUGAUGAACUCAGGAAACCCAGGAGGCUCCAAUACAAUGAUGAAGAUGGCCCAGGUUAAACUAAAUGGGUCACAAAGCACAACCCAAAGUCAUGAUUCUGUGAAAGAAUAUGGGUGAGACAGAAUAGAGGGGGAUGGGAAGGAGAAGAGAGAGUGGGAGGAGAAAGCAGUCAGAAUAUGUGAUAUACACGGAAUUGUCAACUUUCACAUACAUGAAAUUGUCGAAUCGCAAAAUUAAUGAGUAAAAAUGACUUUAAAUAGAAUGCACGUGCCCUCCCUAACUUGUUAGUAUAUGGCCAAUUUCCAACCUAAAUAACGCUUCUUUUAAAAGUUGGCUGCUUCCUUUGAAAGGCCAUCUGGGGAAGCCGGAAUACGGAUGAAAGAGUGGUUUAUUGCAGAGGCAGACUGUGGUUCAAGGCCUCUUUGUCCAGGAACAGCAGGCCAGCCUCAGCCAUCAAAGCCUAUGACAGCCUUUCAUCAUAAUAUCAGCUGGUAGCAACAGCUCUUCUGCAGCCAGGAGCCAGUUCGAUAUCUAAAACCGGACAAUCCUCCAGUCACUUUACAGGUAUUAAAACCAGCACCAGAGUCAUUGCUCAGCAUGUGCUGUAAAGCAAAUACAAACUCACGUGCCCCUGGGGCCGUAAGACCUCAGCCAGGGGAAGGUAACUGCAGCAUCUGCAGUUGUAGCCAUUGUAAGAUCCCACGGUGAUAUGUGGAAGACAAUACUUCCCACCAUUGGCAAAGCCUUCAUUUGAUUCCUUAGCUUAUUUCAGAGUCCCCUGACUUUCUCAGCUGCCACGUUUCUAGGAGACAGAAAUUGAAAUCAAAGAAGCUGCAAGGCAAGACAAGGGGGACAGGAGUAUGACUGGACCAAAGAGCCCAAGUCCCACGGUUUUCUUUCAACAGAAUAAGUGAACGUGAAGACACAGAAGGAAGCUUGGCCAAAGGAUCAGUAAGACACCAGUCACAAAGGAUCACCAACAGGCAUGCCAGCCUGCUUAGUCUUGUCUUCUAUUGGAAGCCACAAACCAUUAUCACUGACGUCCAAAAUGUGUGUCUCUGCUUCACGCCCUGCACUCCGAAGACUGAAUUAUGGUCAUUAUGGAUGCACUGCUACUCAUUCCGUCACGUUCAAAAUUUGACAAUGCAUGUGUAGCACAUUCAGCAGAAGCAAUGAUAAAUCCCGAAACAGUCGUUCUUCAAGAAAGAUCCCUGAAUUGAUUGCAGACAGGAAUAAGACAGAACAAAACCGGCCCUGAGUUCCUCUCUCUGGGAAGCUUGUUUUCACACACAGGUGAGAUCCAAGCAACUCUCUGCAUGGAUGAGAUGAAAAGAAAAGGCUGUGUUUUAAUCUUCCUGUAAACAGACGCUAAAAUGGAUUUUGAAAGUUCAAUACCCUUUGUGGUGAUCCACAUUGACUUGUGGCCUCGUUCAGUUCACUUCAUUCUCAGCCCCAUCUGCUAGGGGAAGAGAAAAGAAUCUUGGUCUUUAACAUGGUCAAAUUAAACCCUGGGAACAGGAAACCAUCUUUCUAAGGAAAGAGAAGGAACAGGGUUCCUAUUCUUGCCUGGUUUGGAUGAGUGAAACUGCAUUAAAUUAUGAAGAUAAUUGA
Molecule: long non-coding RNA, 3164 nt
Organism: Mesocricetus auratus (golden hamster)
Lineage: Eukaryota; Metazoa; Chordata; Mammalia; Rodentia; Cricetidae
Exons: 2
Source: RefSeq, a predicted model, not a curated record